RNAcentral lists this ribosomal RNA (385 nucleotides) under uncultured bacterium. RNAcentral's name for it is "bacterial SSU rRNA". It matches the Rfam family "Bacterial small subunit ribosomal RNA", at positions 29 to 405 of the family's 1533-position model. The record is from RNAcentral.
AGUGAACGCUGGCGGCGUGCUUAACACAUGCAAGUCGAACGAGAACGGAUUAUAGCUUGCUAUAAUUGUCAGCUAAGUGGCGCACGGGUGAGUAAUAUAUAGUUAACCUGCCCUCAAGAAAGGAAUAACAGUUGGAAACGACUGCUAAUGCCCUAUAUGCCUUUAAUACAUAAGUAUGCAAGGGAAACGCUUUAGUGCUUGAGGAUGGGACUGUAUGGUAUCAGCUUGUUGGUGAGGUAAUGGCUCACCAAGGCUAUGACGCCUAACUGGUUUGAGAGGAUGAUCAGUCACACUGGAACUGAGACACGGUCCAGACUCCUACGGGAGGCAGCAGUGGGGAAUAUUGCACAAUGGACGAAAGUCUGAUGCAGCAACGCCGCGUGGA